CUAACCUGUGCGGACUCACAAGACGUCCUACCACCAGUAAUUACGCAAAUUAAAGUUUUUGCGGGCUUGAUUUUUAUUACACAAUGUUAUUCCUUCACCGUGGAAAUCAAUCGUGAACAUUUGGUAAGUUCAUUAGAAAAAUUGGUACCUGCUUGCGGGAUUCGAACACCGGUGAAUCGCAAGAUACAAAUGCAUCGAACGUCUUAUCCUUUAGGCCACGACGACUUCAUAUUAUUAUAUUAUUUUUAUUUAAAUGUAAAUUGCACUUUUGGAAUGGACCAGGACACAGUACAUAUUAUGGCGUUAUGUUAUAAGAGCUGAUAGACUUCCCAUGUACUUUGAGAUGCCAGUUCGAAGAUUUAAUUGUACUAGAGGUCCCGCAGUAGUGGAAAUUCGACUAUAAUUAAUUGGAAUUUUGUCUCGCCCUUCAAACGCAUGGCUGCUUCACCUCAGAAAAUAGGAAGGUUGUGGUACAGGAUCUAUUCGUGAGAACUCAUAACAAGACCUUAUUACCAGUGGUGCUACCACUACAAGCUUAAAUGUAGAUUAGAUUUCAACCACGUUUCUCAAUAGAUGUCUAACAAAGGGCUUUUCGGAUACGCAUGGAACUUUACUGAUUACGAAUGUUGAUCCACAAGCGAAUAAAGAGUUCGUAAUUAGAAUGUACGUAAUUAAGUUUAGUAUAAUUGAUAUUUAUUAAAGGAGAUAGAAUGUG
Long non-coding RNA from Bombyx mori (domestic silkworm), 715 nucleotides. RefSeq lists it as uncharacterized. The transcript has 3 exons. Lineage: Eukaryota; Metazoa; Arthropoda; Insecta; Lepidoptera; Bombycidae. The record is from RefSeq and is a predicted model, not a curated record.